This 2967-nucleotide long non-coding RNA is filed under the name Homo sapiens (human). RNAcentral describes it as "PREDICTED lncRNA (TCONS_00022336)". Lineage: Eukaryota; Metazoa; Chordata; Mammalia; Primates; Hominidae. The record is from RNAcentral.
UUUGAAGGAGAUGGACUAUAUUUACUGCAAUUCCUGAUAAGCUCAAAGUGGUGAGCAAAUUGCCUGAGACCCCUACCAGUCAGAGUAGACCACAAACAGAUCUUCAGGGAAGAGGUCUUCAUUAGGUGAUUAAUUUUUUUGAGGCAUUAAAUUACACUCAGUGAGAAGACAUGACCAGAAUCCAAGCAGACAGGAGCCUGUGAUCUACACACAUUUGUUCUGUGAAAGUUGUCAGAAACAAAAUGGAGUCACUAAUAUUUUUUUAAAAAUCCUGACUAAUAGGGCCAGGAAAAGCAAUGAAGAGAGAAUUCUCAUGCUUGUGUGCUUGGUGACAAAAGCUAUCACAAAAGACUCUGCAAAGUUCACAACCUUGCACAAAGGCUGUCACAACCCUACACAAAAAAUACUUGUGCCAGGGAAUCUGCCCAACAAUGGCCUGUUCAAAUUCAGAUUGGUGUCACCCUUGUUAUUGAUCUUUGUAGCCAAGAUCUCAAAACAAUUACAUUAAUCGUCCUUGUUUUUUCCUUUUAAAAUGUUUGUCUUGCUUUAUCUCUGUCAGUAUGCACAUAGUUUACUAGGGCAUACAUAUUCCCAUUGCAAUGCCUUACUCAUGAAUAAGUAUCUUUUUCUUUUGGAGAGCCUUUCUCUGUUUGUUAUUUAGGUUGAUAUAAAUGGUGUCAGAAAACGGGACCUGAAGAAAGCUCGCUCUCAGAAGAAUCGGCGGUUCUUGACUUCGGCGUGCAGUCCUCACUUGAGCCCUCUGAGAUCCCUGCCUCAGCAGCUGGCCUUUUCGGCCCUGGAGUCUUCUCUUAGGCUGAGCUUAUCUCUUUUUGUCAGAGCAUUUUUGAUAUUAUUUGGGAUCUGGUUUGGUUAUAAGGCUGCCUUAAAUGAAGGAUCUUACAUCUCUUCUGGGAUGAUAAACGACUAUAUGUCUUUUCUGGGUACCUUACAAGUUAGAAAUUUGUAUUGUCUCUGCUUUUUGGAGAAAGGAAUCUUAACUUUUCUCAAGUAACCGAGGUUGCAGAGUGGGUCAAUAAGGAACGUGGGACAAGAACCCGCAUGCGCCUCUCUCCAAAAGUCUUCAUCCUCAACCCCUGCACCAGACUGUCUUCCACACAUGGGCUCUGAGCGGCCAGCACUGGAUCUGGAGAAGCCACCACCCUGUCCUGUCCUCCAGGCAGAACGGAAGUGUGCCUGACCCCAGCUGUAAGCACCCGCCCUCUGUGGCCCGGAAAGAAUCCAGUCGCAGGGCUUGGCCCUUCCCCAUCCCCUCCUCUGGGCAGCCCGCGUUGAGUCCCAUCUGGAACGUGGAGGAAGAAGGCCCUGUAGCAAACGCACAGCUAGACCCCCUCCCUCCCUGCCAGGCCUCCCUCGCCAACUCCAUGCCCAAUUUCAGCCCUGAGGGGCGAGAACAGCAGGUGCUCGGGCCGCCUUCGCCCUUGGUGUUCUGGGAGCCCAUUGUCUAAUUUUGCUCGGGCCUGGCCUGCUUCCUUUUUAGUCCUGCGCAUGUGGGCAGAGUACAAGCUAAUUGGCAGGGCUGUUCCAAAUCCUAAAGAACGCGCGCGCUGCCUGCUCGCCAGCGGGAGGGCCGUGUGCCCAGCUUGCGCCCUGACAUUUUCCGAGGCCUGGGCGAGGCCACCUGCCUGACGAAGGCUUACCAGGGAAAAUCAGGUCCUGACAGCCUGACAGGGACAACCGCCCAGAGGAUUCAUCUGCUCGCGAUGCCUGGUCAGCAAGGAGGAGACUCGACCUGGGACGAGGAAGAGGCCUUGAAGGGACAGAGGAGAGCGCAUCCUCCAUCCCCCGGCCAGGGAGAAGUCACGCGGACCCCCAGGUUGCUGGGCCGCGAUGGGGGGAAGAGGAGACCACCCCCAGCUCCGCAGCGAGCGCCCUCACUUCGGGGAGACAGAGGCGUCGAUCCCUCCUGCGGACGGCUGGGGGCGCUGCGCUUCAACCGAAGGCAGAGAUCCUGGACCGGGGCGAGGCAAGCCCUCCCGGAGGAGAGGAGCUCUGAAGGGGGAAAACAGCUCUGCAGAGUGUAGAGGAGCCGGACUUUGCAGCCAGGUACCUCUGUGCAAGUCUCAGCUGUGCCUCUGAAGUAGCUAGCCGUUGCCCAGCACUGUGCUAAGGUCUUUUCAUCACUGUGUAAUUGAAGGCUCACAGCCACCCUUUAAGGAAAACGAUCUUGUCGUCAUUAUUUUAUAAGAAAUGGAAUGGAAGCUCAGUGCCACCCCUAGCCCAUGGACACAUUCCCAGAGAGCGGCAGUGUGUCUGGCCUGGAACUUAAUGAAUUCUGUCGGACAGAAGUCCAUGCUCUUAACCAUUAGGCCUCCCAUACAAAGAUACUUUGUACGGGGACAUGAGACACAGCCUAAUAGCACAGAAACUCACAGAGGACGAGUUUCUUAGUUUUGUCAUCUCUGAAAUGGGAAUAAUAAUAUUACUCCCACCUUGCAAGGCUUUGGGAAAGAUUAGAGAGAAUGUAAAAAGGUCCAUGUGAGAGGUCCUCGUGGGUUAAUGUGUGGGGGGAGUCCCCAGUCCCUCCCCGGGCACUCAGAGCGAUGUGGGAAGACUGUGGAGCCCAUGCUUAUUGAUGCUGUUUCAUUUCAAUUAAACCUCCGUCAGAAACAUCGCAUGACAUCAAAAUGGAAGAGAUGUUGAGUCUGAACGGUGAGGUCAUAGAUUUUGUUUUUAUUUAUGUAUUUUCCAAAUAAAAAUAUGUAUCAUGUUUUCUCAUCAUAAUUGUAAUAUGUGAUGAUGUAUCAAUUAUGGAAAAUACAGAAACUGUAAAAGAGGAAAUGAGGAAAACCUUUGCUUCUCACUGUUACAGAUAACUACUGUUCAAAAUUAUAGAUAACAACUCUGGAGGCUGAGGUAGGAGGACUGCUUGAGCCCAAGAGUUCGAGGCUGCAGUGAACUAUGAUUGCACCAUUGCACUCCAGUCUGGGUGACCAGCAAGAUCCUGUC